GACGAACCGUGCAAACGUUGUUCGGAUUCACUGGGCUUAAAGGGCGCGUAGGCGGCUUGCCAAGUCAGGGGUGAAAUCCUCCGGCUCAACCGGAGAACAGCUUUUGAUACUGGCGGGCUUGAGGGAGGUAGGGGCAGGUGGAACUUCCGGUGGAGCGGUGAAAUGCGUAGAUAUCGGAAGGAACGCCGGUGGCGAAAGCGACCUGCUGGACCUCUUCUGACGCUGAGGCGCGAAAGCCAGGGGAGCAAACGGG
Molecule: ribosomal RNA, 253 nt
Filed under: uncultured bacterium
Lineage: Bacteria
Description: partial 16S ribosomal RNA
Rfam family: Bacterial small subunit ribosomal RNA
Source: RNAcentral